RNAcentral lists this long non-coding RNA (5380 nucleotides) under Lupinus angustifolius (narrow-leaved blue lupine). Its description in RNAcentral is "long non-coding RNA (LANG_LNC002994)". The record is from RNAcentral. Lineage: Eukaryota; Viridiplantae; Streptophyta; Magnoliopsida; Fabales; Fabaceae.
UCAUUUCUCAACCACGGAAUUAAUAUCUCUCAUCUAUUUUUCUCCAACAAAACCCUCACCUUUCUCACUUUUCCAACAAUAUUGCAACCACUUCGCAAUGUUCACACAUCAGAGGAAGGCAACGACUACAACAACAUCAUUCACUCCCUACCGUGGCACCACUUUCAAUCUCCUUUCCUCCGUUGUGAAGGGUAAGUCCAUCCUUUUUGCAGAUGAACAACUGUUGGCUUAGCGAAACUACGAAGUAGGUGGUGGUUGUGUUUGAUGUUGGGAACAUGGAUGACUGGAGAAAGUUUAAGGAUAGUGAAUUGCUCGAUGAGGCUUUUACGCAGAGAAAAGACCAUGAACAGUCUUAGAUAAGGUUUUGGGGCUGGAAAAGGAGGUUAGUUUGAAGAUAGUGAAAUUUUUAUUUCUUUAAUUUGUUGAUGUCAAAGGCUUGAAGAACGAACAAAGGAUAUUAAAUGUCUUCCCAUUUCAUUAGCCUUGAUUGUUAAAUGGCUUAUUCUGUGCUAACCAUGACUUUAAAAUGAGUAAUUUUUGAAAGGGGAAUAAUAAUAAUCAUAAUAAUUUUAAUCAUAAUGAGAAUAACAAUAGUAACAACAAUAGCACAUCUUCAUCUUCCUCUUGUACCGCAUGAAUCAAUGUAAGUGUAUAUCAUUCUACCAUAGUACAAUGUUAGUGUCACAAACACCAUAUUAGCCUUGAUUGUUAAAUAUCUAAUUUUUUUUGUAUUGAACAAAAAUGGAAUAGGAAUGUGGGUUUUUGAAGAAGUGGGUAUGGCACAACUACUACACCAGUUAGGAAGUGCAAAAAAUAUUCAAAAUGAAUGAAAACGGUGUCGUAUAUGGUGGAGAGUAUGGUGCAAGAAGAGAGAUAAAGAGUUUGAAUUGAAUAUUUGGUUUAGAAUUAGAACAUGAAAGUUUGGAAGGAUGAAGAUGAAUUGAAAAUAAGAAGUUCUCGUGCAUGGUUCAUGUUAUUUUUUUAUUUUCAAUUACUUUCAUCUCAAGUUAAAUGAAGAGUAACAAAAAGAAACUGUAUUAUCAUUUUCAUCACAUUUUAAACCGUUGGUAUAGCUUUUUUUAAUAAUUAAAUUCUCUAUAAUGCACAAAUAUACACUUUGAAUUAACAAUAAAUAAAAACAUAGGUUUAGUGUUGUUGUAACGUAAAUUGGUUCUAGUAGAGAGAAAAAUGGAAGAAAAAUGAAGUAAGAGAUGAGAAAUACCUGGAAGUUGGAAGAAAUUAUUUUGUGAAGUGAAGAAAUUAUUAGUUGUAAUUAAACAAAUUUCAAGCCAAGAUGAGUAGUAGUAGUAGCAUGUUUGAAAGUUAGAUAAAAGUCAUGCUUCAUCUAAAAAUGAUGCACCCAAUGACAGUGCCGGUUUAAGUAGCGAAAUCUACACAAAUAUAGAGUUUGAAUAAACAAGAGAAUAAAAACAUAAAUUCUUGUGAGUUAUUGGUUAUUAUUGCAAUUGAAUGAAUACAUCUUGAUUUCAUUGAUUGAAGCUUUGAACCAAAAGCUCAAUUUAUACAAAAGAAGUCAUGGUUGGCAGAAUAACUAACCAACCAGAAAAACAGAAAAAGAACUAAAAAGGAAAGAUUCCUAAUAACAAACUAAACAAAAAUCUAUUUUUGGAAACAAUUAACUAACAAACAAACUAAUGGAAUAAUGAUGAAGAAGAUGAUGAUCACAAUAGCCCCCUUCAAGCUGGAGAAUAUAUGUCAAUAAUGCCCAACUUGAAAAGUAAGUAAUGAAAAGGUUGAGGAUCUAAUGGCUUGGUGAAAAUGUCAGCAUAUUGUUCAGAGGAUUGAAUAGGUAAAAGAUGGAAGAGUUUGUUUUGAAGUCUUUCUCUCACAACAUGACAAUCAAUCUCAAUGUGUUUGGUUCUUUCAUGAAAGACAUUGUUGGAGGCAAUGUGGCAAGCGGAUGAGUUAUCACAGUAAAGAAGAGAAGGAGUUUUAAAAGAAAUAGGAAUGAACUGGAUAAGGUAUCUUAGCCAUUGUAGUUCACAUGAUGUAGCAGCCAAUGCUCUGUAUUCUGCCUCAGAGGAGGAUCGAGCCACUGUUUGUUGCUUUUUAGACUUCCAUGAUAUAAGAGCAUUGCCAAGAAAAACACAAUAACCAGAGAUGGAUUUCCUGGUAUCUAUGCACGCGCCCCAAUCUGAGUCUGAGAAGGCUUUGUAUUGCAGAGAAGAUGAAGAAGGAUAGAACAAGCCUUGGCCAGGGGCAGAUUUGAUGUAUCGAAGAACUCUGGUUAGAGCUUUGUAGUGAGUAGAGGUUGGAGAAGCCAUGAAUUGGCUUAAUUGUUGCACAACAAAGCUUAAGUCGGGUCUAGUGUUUGUGAGGUAAAGGAGUCUUCCUACAAGCCUCCUAUAUAGUGUUGCAUCAGGAAAAUGAGAACUAUCUUGUUGAUGAAGUUUGGAAGUUCUAACCAUCGGGGUAGGAAGAGGUUUGGAUGAAAGGAAACCAGUGUCUUGUAAGAUAUCCAAAGCAUACUUCCUUUGUGAGAGGAUGAUGCCUUUGGUAGAUCUGGAAAUCUCGAGACCUGGAAAGUAUUUGAGAGGCCCUAAAUCUUUGAUUUUGAACAUGGCAUGAAGAUGAGCUUUGACAAAGUUGAUUUCAUUUUGAUCUGUACCAGCUAAGAUCAGGUCGUCAACAUAAAUGAGAAGAAUGGUGAACUUGGAAUUAAAAGUUUUAAUAAAGAGAGAAUGGUCAUGUUGUGAUUGUGUAUAGUCAAGAGAAAAUAAAGUGGAAGACAAUUUGUGAUACCAUUGCCUACUAGCUUGCUUCAAACCAUAAAUUGAUUUGUGAAGCUGACAAACCUGAUUUGGUUUAUAACCAAUGAUUCCAGGAGGAAUUAACAUGUAUACCCCUUCAUCAAGCUCUCCAUGAAGGAAAGCAUUGUUGAUAUCAAGUUAUUGGAGAGUCCAAUUUUGAGCAGAAGCAAGAGCAAGAAUUAACCUAACAUUUGAUAGUUUGAUAACAGGGGCAAAUGUAUCAAAGAAAUCUAUACCUUCAAUUUGAGUAUACCAUUUGGCGACCAAACGAGCCUUAUACCUUUCAAUGCUUCCAUAUGAGUUGUAUUUAAUCUUGUAAACCCAUUUAGUCCCUAUAGGAACCUUAUCAGGAGGAAGAUCAACAAUAGACCAAGUGUUAUUGAGUUCAAGGGCAUUGAGUUCAUGCUGCAUAGCUUCAAUCCAAUAGGGAGACAUGAUGGCUUGUUUAUAAAUUUUUGGUUCUGCUGUGGUGGUAAUGGAAAGGGCAUGUUGGAAAGCCUUGAGAGAUAGAGAAUGAUAGGAAAGGACAACAGAUAAAGGAUAUUUGAUUCUUGGUUUGUGAGGAAGAGUGUUAUGGCUGAGGAUGCUAUGAUGGAAAUCUUGUAGGUAGGAAGGGGGUGUCUAAUCCUAUUAGAUCUUCGAGGUUCAAGGAUAGGGUCACUAGAAGAUGGAGUUGUAUGGUUAUGAGGUGAGUCAGUGGUGCAUGAUAUUGGUUCAGGAUUAUAUGGACAGGUCAUUGGUAAGGCAUUGGUAUGGUCAUCAUAAAGAAGAAAUUCAAGGCUUGAUUCAGUAGGUAGUAUAAAGUCAGAUUGUUUAUGUUCAGAAAAGGCAUUGGCAUAUGGGAAAACCUGCUCAUGGAAAGUGACAUGCCUUGAUAGAAAAAUGGCAUUUGUACUGAUAUCUAGGAGUAAGUACCCUUUGGUCCCUGUUGUGUAUCCUAAAAAUAUGCAUUUUUUGGGUCUAGGGUCUAGUUUUGUCUUGUGGUUGCUAAGAGUGCAUGUACAACAAAGGCUGCCAAAAACCUUUAAGUCAUUGAGGUCAGGUUCCUUAUUGUAUAAUAGGUUAAAAGGGGAUUUGUUUUGCAGGACAUAGCUAGGCAACCUAUUAAUAAGAAAGGUGACAUGUCUAACAGCAAAAGACCAAAAAGUGAUUGGUAAUUGAGACUGAAAUAAAAUUGAUCUAGUUACAUUUAACAAGUGCCUAUGUUUUCUUUCAACAAUAGAAUUUUGUUGUGGGGUUUCAACACAACUAGUUUGAUGUUGGAUUCCUAAAUUUUGAUAAGUUGCAGGUGUAUUAAAUUCCUCCCCAUUAUCAGUCCUUAUGACUUUAAUUAUCUUGUUGAAUUGAGUUUGAACAAACUGAAUAAAGCUAUGAACAAGAUUCCUAGUUUCAACCUUAGAUUGCAUUAAGAAAAGCCAUGUAUGUCUACUAAAAUCAUCAAUAAUAGUCAAGAAAUAUUUAUGUCCAUGUAUGGAGGGAACACCCAAGGGUCCCCAUAUGUCCAUGUGGACAAGAUCAAAAGGAGAUUUAGCAUGAUGAGUGCCUUUUGAGAAGGGAAGUUUUGCCAUUUUUGCCAUAUAACAGAAAUCACAAAUCAAUGAUGAAUCAUAUUUAACCAAAGGAAAUUGCUUAGAAAUAGUGUGUAAAACAUUACUAGAGGGGUGUCCAAGUCUUGAAUGCCAUAAAUCAAAGUUGACACUCUUAGUGUUAUUUGCAAUUAUUCUGUUUACAUUGCACAAGACUUGUUUAGAUGACUUAGAUGUUAUUUUGAGUAUAUAUAAGCCAUUCAAUGCUUCAACAUGUCCAAUCAUCUUCAUGGUAAUCAUAUCCUAAAUAAGGCAAUGAGAACUAUCAAAGAUCAAUAUGCAAUUUAAUGAUCUUGUAAGCUUAUGUAUAGAUAUUAAGUUGUAUUGAAAAUCAGGUAAAAAUAGGACAUUAUGCAGAGUAAGUUGUGCAGAUAGUGUAACUGUUCCUGAUUGUUGAGCAAUAAGAGAUGAUCCAUUUGGAAGCUUAAUUCUUACAUGCUUAAUAGGUCUUAAUAUGUCAAAAUUAGAGAUGAAAGGGCUUAUAUGAUCAGUGGCUCCACUAUCUAAAAUCCAAGAUAAGAUGUUACCUGAUAUAUGGUUGGGAUUAUCACUUGUUGUAGUGCUUUCUUCUGUGUUUUUGUGACUGAACUGGUUGACAUUGUGUUGACCCUUAUUUGUUGAAUUCACAUCUGCUUGUUGUAGGAGAUUGGUGAGUAGAGCAUAUUGUUCUGGAUUGAACUAUAGGGCAGGUUGUUGUUUGGUAUUCUCGAAUUGCUUGGUUUCUAUCAAAUUGUUCACUGCACCUUCAUUUUCUUUAAUCUUGGUGUAAUUGGGAGGAAAUCCAUGCUUGUGAUAGAAUGUGUCUAUGGUGUGACCUCCUUUAUUGCAAUAGGUACAUAUUCUUGUGGAUGAAAAUCUUUGGUUGUAUCCUCUUCCUCCCAACCUUCCUCUGCCUCUUUGGUAUGAAUUAGUGCUCCUACCACCUGUGGUUCUCCAGUUAUCAUCUUGAAUUCUUUGGAUCAUUACAUUGUCAUUUCCUAUGGUGUUCCUCCAAUUCUCAUUGUCCCUUCUAUUGGAUAAGAG